AACCGCCGGUCUCUACUCUCUCUCACACUCCAAAUUUCACAAUUUUUCCUCCACCAUUUUCUUGCUCCAAUUCACACCAAAUUCACCACACAAGCUCAAGACAACUUGGACAAUCACUUGGACAAAGAAGGAGCUGCACAUUCACGGAUUUUCUUGGGGCUUUUGGGACACCAAAAUCUGACCUUUUAGCACACAAGUAAGGAGUUGGUGAAGAGCACAAUCUCGAUCAAAGUUUGGAAUUCUAGACACUUCACUUGAGGUUCUGAAAUGCAUGAAGUCUUGGAGAACUAGAACAGAAAUGUUAUAUUUUGAAUGCCCACUUUUGUAAUUGUACUUUUGGAAACGUUAGUAUCUUUUGGAUGAUUUUUGUGUUUUUGGGAAAAUGUGAAUCCUGUGGUGCUUCUGUGCCCUGGAUUAGGAACUUUAAAUUGUAAAUUAAGUUGAAUUUAAGUAUACUAAGCUCGACGUUUUCGUUGGUACUUGGAAUUGUG
Coffea eugenioides is the source of this 491-nucleotide long non-coding RNA. RefSeq lists it as uncharacterized. The record is from RefSeq and is a predicted model, not a curated record. The transcript has 3 exons. NCBI's taxonomy places the organism in Eukaryota, Viridiplantae, Streptophyta, Magnoliopsida, Gentianales, Rubiaceae.